GGAGAGGUGUCCGAGCGGCCGAAGGAGCACGACUGGAAAUCGUGUGUACCCGAAAGGUACCAAGAGUUCGAAUCUCUUCCUCUCCGCCA
Molecule: transfer RNA, 89 nt
Filed under: Deltaproteobacteria bacterium
Lineage: Bacteria; Pseudomonadati; Myxococcota; Myxococcia
Description: tRNA-Ser
Rfam family: tRNA
About the family: Transfer RNA (tRNA) molecules are approximately 80 nucleotides in length.
Source: RNAcentral